CCGCGGCCUAUCAGCUUGUUGGUGAGGUAAUGGCUCACCAAGGCGACGACGGGUAGCCGGCCUGAGAGGGCGACCGGCCACACUGGGACUGAGACACGGCCCAGACUCCUACGGGAGGCAGCAGUGGGGAAUAUUGCACAAUGGGCGAAAGCCUGAUGCAGCGACGCCGCGUGAGGGAUGACGGCCUUCGGGUUGUAAACCUCUUUCAGCAGGGAAGAAGCGAAAGUGACGGUACCUGCAGAAGAAGCGCCGGCUAGCUACGUGCCAGCAGCCGCGGUAAUACGUAGGGCGCAAGCGUUGUCCGGAAUUAUUGGGCGUAAAGAGCUCGUAGGCGGCUUGUCACGUCGGGUGUGAAAGCCCGGGGCUUAACCCCGGGUCUGCAUUCGAUACGGGCUAGCUAGAGUGUGGUAGGGGAGAUCGGAAUUCCUGGUGUAGCGGUGAAAUGCGCAGAUAUCAGGAGGAACACCGGUGGCGAAGGCGGAUCUCUGGGCCAUUACUGACGCUGAGGAGCGAAAGCGUGGGGAGCGAACAGGAUUAGAUACCCUGGUAGUCCACGCCGUAAACGGUGGGAACUAGGUGUUGGCGACAUUCCACGUCGUCGGUGCCGCAGCUAACGCAUUAAGUUCCCCGCC
Molecule: ribosomal RNA, 632 nt
Filed under: uncultured bacterium
Lineage: Bacteria
Description: bacterial SSU rRNA
Rfam family: Bacterial small subunit ribosomal RNA
Source: RNAcentral